UAUUGGGCGUAAAGAGCUCGUAGGCGGCUUGUCACGUCGGAUGUGAAAGCCCGGGGCUUAACCCCGGGUCUGCAUUCGAUACGGGCAGGCUAGAGUUCGGUAGGGGAGAUCGGAAUUCCUGGUGUAGCGGUGAAAUGCGCAGAUAUCAGGAGGAACACCGGUGGCGAAGGCGGAUCUCUGGGCCGAUACUGACGCUGAGGAGCGAAAGCGUGGGGAGCGAACAGGAUUAGAUACCCUGGUAGUCCACGCCGUAAACGUUGGGAACUAGGUGUGGGCGACAUUCCACGUCGUCCGUGCCGCAGCUAACGCAUUAAGUUCCCCGCCUGGGGAGUACGGCCGCAAGGCUAAAACUCAAAG
RNAcentral lists this ribosomal RNA (357 nucleotides) under Streptomyces sp. PM2. RNAcentral describes it as "bacterial SSU rRNA". It matches the Rfam family "Bacterial small subunit ribosomal RNA", at positions 552 to 906 of the family's 1533-position model. The record is from RNAcentral. Lineage: Bacteria; Bacillati; Actinomycetota; Actinomycetes; Kitasatosporales; Streptomycetaceae.